AUCAUCAAGUUUGAUUAUAAAAGAAAGAAAAUGAAAAUCAAAGGAAAAAGUGAUAUGCCACAGAAUGCCUUUCGGCCGCACUAAUUUGCACCCCAAAGUUGCUACAGGGCCCGAAGAUGCAACAGCUCGAAUGGUUCGAAAGUGGUUUGCCUCUGAAAAUUUGAUGCACGUGGAGCUCACGUAUUCUGGAAAACAAACUAAUGAAACAAAAAACAGAAACAAGAGAGGAGAGAAGGGAGAGAGAAAGAGAGAGAGGUUGCGAACCAGACUACAGGACUUCACGAUGACGAGAGAGACAACCACGACGACCACAAACCUAGUGUUCACCGACGAGCGUCGUUGACCUGGUGUUCUCCAUGCCGAAUGCCCUAAACAUUUUUUAUCUGUGCAUCUACACGAGCUACACGCUUCAAUGGACAUUGAUUCAAACAAUCCUUCAUUGAAUGGGACUGAGGACGUUGAAGAAACGGAGAACAAUCCGUCAUUAAAUGAGAUUGGUGAAGUUGAAGAACCUAAGAAGGGCAUGUGUUUUAGCUCAAAGUAAGAAGUAUAUUCGUUUUAUGCAAAAUAUGCGAAGCACCUCGGAUUUACUGUAGCUUAUAGAACACAAAUUAUUGGACAAGAUGGGGAAGGAAAAUACUUUGGAAUUGAAUGUACUCGGGCAUGCAAGAGAACAAAACGAUCAGAAGUACACCAUCUCGAACCAUCUUUGUCAGUAUUCAUUGAAUGUAAAACAAAGGUUAGAGCAACUCUACAAAAGGAUGGAAGAUUUAAGUUGACCACAGUUGUGCUUGAACAUACACGUGAUUUGAUUCCUAGUGACUCACGACAUUUUGCAAUGAAUAAGAGAAUUCUUACCCCUGUGAAGAGAAGACUAGAAAUAAAUGAUGAAGCAGGGAUAGGGGUGGCUAGGAAUUUUCAUUCUAUAAUUAUUGAAGCAGGGGGGUAUGAGGCAUUAACAUUUGAUGAACAAGAUGCAAGGAAUCAUAUUCAGAGUAUGAGAAGAUUGAAGCUUGGAGUAGGAGAUGCUGAAUCAGUUGCACUUUAUUUUCAUAGGAUGUAACAACAAAAUUCGAACUUCUAUUCUGCAAUUGACCUCGAUGAAGAUGGUCGCAAGCAAAACUUGUUUUGGGCGGAUGCAAGGAGUAGGAUAGCUUAUAAAGCAUUUGGGGAUGUGGUUUCAUUUGACACAACUUAUCUCACAAACAAAUAUGAUAUGCCAUUUGCUCCAUUUGUAGGAGUUAAUCACCAUGGGCAAUCAAUUUUGCUUAGUUAUGAGUUGUUAUCUAAUGAGAACACUGAAACAUUUGUGUGGCUAUUCAAAGAAUAGGCACAGUUUGUAAAGUGUACUUGUUAAUUCAUCAUUCUAUUUGUUGAAUGGACAAUAUUUGUAAAGUGUACUUGUUUAUUAAACAAGCACAGUUUAAUCAAAUGCAAACGGUAGACAAUAUUGGAGGCA
Molecule: long non-coding RNA, 1459 nt
Organism: Camellia sinensis
Lineage: Eukaryota; Viridiplantae; Streptophyta; Magnoliopsida; Ericales; Theaceae
Source: RefSeq, a predicted model, not a curated record